RNAcentral lists this ribosomal RNA (493 nucleotides) under uncultured bacterium. RNAcentral describes it as "bacterial SSU rRNA". It matches the Rfam family "Bacterial small subunit ribosomal RNA", at positions 28 to 517 of the family's 1533-position model. The record is from RNAcentral.
GAUGAACGCUGGCGGCGUGCCUAACACAUGCAAGUCGAACGGAGUUAUCUAGGAAAAUCCUUCGGGAUUGGAAUUCUUAACUUAGUGGCGGACGGGUGAGUAACGCGUGAGCAAUCUGCCUUUCAGAGGGGGAUAACAGUCGGAAACGACUGCUAAUACCGCAUAAUGCAUCGGGAUCGCAUGAUUUUAAUGCCCAAAGAUUUUAUCGCUGAAAGAUGAGCUCGCGUCUGAUUAGCUAGUUGGUGAGGUAACGGCCCACCAAGGCGACGAUCAGUAGCCGGACUGAGAGGUUGAACGGCCACAUUGGGACUGAGACACGGCCCAGACUCCUACGGGAGGCAGCAGUGGGGAAUAUUGCGCAAUGGGGGCAACCCUGACGCAGCAACGCCGCGUGAUUGAUGAAGGUCUUCGGAUUGUAAAAAUCUUUAAUCAGGGACGAAACAAAUGACGGUACCUGAAGAAUAAGCUCCGGCUAACUACGUGCCAGCAGCCG